CUCAAAGGAAAAAAGCCAAAGACAAAAUGAACAGUUACUGCCCUUCUUUAAGUCAGAACGCGGCUCGGGUGCCGACGGAAUCUGCAGCGCGGGACAGACUCCCACCUCGCGCCCGUCUUUCCCCGCGCAGCGCGUUUGUCCGCACGGCAGCGGCGCAGCUCUGACUUUACGCAACAGUGCUGCGGAACCCGCGAGGCCGAACGUCUGCGAGAGCCGCCCCUGCCGCCGCCCGCCGAGCGCCCCGACCACCCGCAGCACUCCGGGCCGAUCCGACCCGGCCGCCGCGGCGCUGCUGGCGGUUCCCUUCGUCCCGUCUCUGUGGCUCCGCGCUGCCGCCGUCCCCACUUGGCCACCGCGCCUGCGUUAACGGCUCGGCCCGAGGCCGUUCUGUCGCUGGCGCCACUCCCGCUGCUCCGCGGCCUUCGCGGUGCGCGCGCGUCAGCACCUGCGGCCGUUAGGCGCGCGCGCGACCGUUGCUCCCUCAGGCGAGGCCGUCCCGCCGCGCGUUCCGCCUGCGCGGCCAGGCGUUCCUCUGCCGAGAGGUGGCCCUCGUGUGCUCAGAGCCGUAAUUGGAGCAGUCUUCCCCGGGACGGGAAAAACAGCUUAGGGAGGAGGAAGAAAAAGCAGGAAGAAAACGCGCAUCCUCCCGGAAACGGAGCGGGAGUGCAGACUUUGCGGUUUCUCGGAGGGACUCUGAAUUGAUACAGUGCUAUGGCAGAAUGGAACAGCGUCCUCGUUCUGCAGAGGAGACUGGAGACUCAUCAUCAGGUACUUUACAGAUAAGCACAGGGGGAAAAAACACCUCAAACCCUCUAGGUGUUAUGUGUUCCUCUAGUUUCUUUCUUUGAUUCUCUUUUAGAAAGUUUUUAGUGGGGAUGCAGAGUGUAUUGCAGGGGAUGGGGAAACAUGAGGGACUUCUCUGCUAUCAAGGAGAAGCCUGACUUAAGAUGGUACAUAUGUUCUAAGAAAUCCAACACCCUUUAGCAACGUUUGUGUAAUACACAAAUCAGCUAAUACGCAGGAGUAGACAGGUGCAUUUGAUGAUAGCCACUUUUAGAGCAUGGUUAACAUGUAGAGCUUUUAUUGAAAACCAGGGUUUAUAGCUUAUGGAAAAGUUCAUUCGGCCUCAUCUCAAGCCUUAUCCACCCUUGUCUUGGUGUUUCCUUCAUAAUGUUAACAUGAACACAGUUGGAGGGUGUAGGGAAAGGCAGAGAACCAGUUCUGAAUCACCCAAAAAAGGCUGCUGGUCACCAUCCAGCUCAAGAAAGAUUUGCUUGCCCCGUUCCAAAGCUUGGGGUUCACCAAAUAUGCCAAAAGGAGGUAUCUCCAAGUAAAGACCUUCCCUGGUGGCAGCCAGCCCUUCAGUUGACAGUAGGGAGGGCUGGAACCAGGUUUUUGGAAUUGCUGCCACCUGUGCUCCCAGGGCUGGCUGUGUCCCUUCCUCAGGUGCUCAGUCAUUGGUUCAGGCUGUGACUUAGCAGUUCCCUUAUGGAGGAGUAUAUGUUUAUUUUGUAGGUCUUAGUAAAAUUAUUAAAACACAGAAUUGCAAGUUGGGACCCAACGAGAGAUUUAUCAGUGAUACACUCUGACUAUAAAUUCUGUAAUGCACAAAUGCAUAGUGAAAAAGUGCUGUGCUGGUUUUCCACUGUUUGUGUUUGAAGUGUGGUAUCUGAAGGUAAGUUUAGAGCACGUAUAGCCUACAGACUUUUAGAAUGGAUUAAGUUCAUAUAGAAAAGGUAUUUUAGGAAAUUUACUAGGCAUACCGUUCAGUUUUAUGGGUACCUAAAUAACAAUUUGGUUUUGUAAUACUUUCCCAAAUUUUGAGGUCAUCAGCAUUGCACAGACUCUAAUGAGGAAAGGGUUGGUGAUCAAGUAUGGAGAUUGCCUCCGUAUGAGAAAGUAUCAUAUUAAAUGCUUAAAUGAAGCAGCUUCAUGACAGAAAGAAUCUUGUGCAUACUGAACAGCUCACAGUUCUUUCUCCUGAAGAAAUGCAUGUAGGUGUUUGCUCCAAAACAAGCUGAGCAGAAUACAAAAUGCGAAUAUGAAUUCCAACAAUCCAGCACAUCUUGAAAACCUCAAAGAACUUAGGAAAAUCAUGAACGAAUAGGAUAGAUUUGUUCUCUGAACUUGCUUGUUUUUUAAUGAACCAGGAGGCAGAUGAGUUUUGGGGUAUGGUGAACCUUAGCAGCUGCACAUAAUGAAAAAAAGAUUACUUUAUAAAGUAAGGUCUGUAGGGUUCAUGAGCUAUAGAAAAGGUAAUUGUUUACAGUUGUUUAUUACACAGAUUAGAACUCUUGCAAUACCUUUGGCUUUUCUUUUCAUGACAGAAGUAUCUUUCUGAAGGUAAAGGAAAAUGCUACAUCAUGCUUUUGUUCUGACCAGUGUCUCUACACAUCAGAGUAUCUAUGUCAGGGUUCUUAGCCUACGUUUUCUUGAAACAAGAGUAAAAGCAAAGGAAUUAAACUAACAAAACCCAAUAGACCUAAACACUGGGAGUUUGAGAGUUCUUCAUUAUUAAAGAUGUUCUCUCUGAUUCUGAAGAAAAACCACAAUUCUUUUGGAGUUUGUCUCUAAGUCCUUGUAUCAUUCUUGUUCCCUUUUGUAGGAAAAGCACUUGCAAAUGUUGCCCAAAUAUUUCUGACUCAUACGAUCCAGAAUUUUAGUUUGUUAUUAAAUGCAUUUUUCAUUUUUAAUAAGCAAAACCAGACAAUGGUUUUCCUUUUUUUUUUAUUUGAGACACUUAGCAAAAAUGCUGAAAUAUCAAACAUUUCCUCAGUAGCUACAAUAUUGCCACUAUGUACAAAAUAUCUGAUAAAUGUACUACACAUAUAAAAAUACAGUAUGCCUUACAUAUAUACAGUACAAUGUGCAAAACAUAUGGCAUUCAAACACAUGGAAUUGAUUUUAGGGGUGCAAACAACAAAUACAAAGGCAUCAUGGUUUCUUAUAGAAAGGCAAAACAUAAACUGACGCCCUGAUUGCCAUAAUUUGCAUUUAGUAAAGUAGUGCUUAAAUGAAGAGGGUCCUAGGAAGAGGUAUCUAUCUUCUUCUUUUCACAAAAUGAGAUGCUAAGACAUAAUUAUGACUAUGAAAAUAAGAAGAGAAACACCUACUAGGGUUAGCGUCAUUUCUACUGCAAGCAGUACUCUGGAAAAAGUUCUAUCUGGAAAAAAGCCUGUGCUAUUACUUAAUACAAAUUUCUCAAACAACAAAAACAAAUCUGUACUCUCAAACAUCAAAAUCUGCUUUGAAAAUAUCUACAUCCUUAAUUUAAAAAAAAGUAUUGGUAAUAUUUGGGGGAUUUACUUUCCUAUGCUUCAAAAUACAAAGUGCCUUCUUUGGCAAUAUAAAUGGCAAUGCUUUGGUUCCUAUUUAAAUUUUUAUAUUACUAUAAUUUAUUUUAGGCUAUUUUUGAAUAUCUGAGCUGUACUUUUUAUAAAAAUAGUGUGAUUGUAUAGUUGUUAACCAUUCCCUGCAUUUCAUUGAGAUUUCAUUCUCGUAGCGUGAAUAGCUUUUUUUUUUUUUUUUUGGCUAGAAUUCGACAUAUGCAUUUAUGUACUUUUAACCUAGAAGUCUAUAUAUUCAGACACUACAGAAUGACAUAGGUGUGUCUUUUGCAUUUUAUUCAUCACAAUAGAAGGAAUACUUGAGAUUAUUUCAGGUUCAGUUUUUAAUGGAUGCUCUUUAUUGGCCACAUAUAUACUAUGUGCAACUCAAUUCCACAUCUCUCUCAAAAGAAAACCUCUAUUAUGGCCUAGAAAUCAUCAGAAAGCAAUUUAAUAGGCCACAAUAGAAAAAGAUUUAACAAAACAUUUAAUAGAUAUAAGUGGAAGAAUAUUUUUUCCAGUUUUAAUAGAAUUUGCUUUAAAUUUAUAAUACGCUGAAGAUGCCAUCAAAAUAACUGUAUACAUCAGUGAGCUUUAUUUUGUUUUCAUUACAUAAUGCCCUUCCAGUUAAUUGUAUUCUUUGACUGCAUUUUCUCUGCUUUGAGAGCAGUUCAGCAGCUUGUGCUUGGUUUCCAACUAUGGUGCCUACACUUUUCAGGCAUCAGAACAUUUGAGAUUAUGUAAUAGAGAAGUUUAAUAUUGAAACCUCUGGUUUGAUCAUUUGCUUCCUUGAAGAUAUUCCUGUUGGUCAAUUUAGAGAUGCCUUGAAAAGAAAUUUCAGUAUUAAACAGUGAUUGCUUCUAACAUGGCCUCAGCUUUUUAAUGGGCUGGCUUUGCAAGGCUCUCAUUACUGGAUUAGAAGCUACAUUUCUGUAAAGAACAAUUGAAUAAACUGAUAUAACUGUUAAGUUUAUGACAACGAUUUGCCAACUGUUUGUAACCUUGCAUAAAAUUUUGCCUGUAAACUUACUUGUCUUAAAUAAUGCUGCAUGGCACUAAAAGUGCAUUAACAAAUAGCAUUUCUGUACUACAUGCAAGAUGUGACUCUUCUUGAUUAAUACCAGUCCUGUAAGACACACCUGAGCUCCUUCCAUGUUUAGAAUUGUAAACACCAACUUUUGAAUUUCACACUGAUAAAAUGGUAUUCUUAAUUGCUUUGUAAGAAUUUAGUAACAGCAGAUUUAAUAGGAUGUGUUCUGUUAGCAUAUUGCAGCCAUAAUAUGGCAAAUUUAGUGCCAGUGCUUUCCUCUGCAACUGUUCUCCUAAUGAGAAAUAUUCAGUUCUGUACAGUCAAACUGCACAGUCAUGAUUAAAUUUCUAAGAUGUGUUGUAUCUGUGUAAGAAAAAUUAUAAUGCAAAACAUGCACACGCACAAAUCUAAGCAAAAUCUAUUUCUGCCAUAACCUGUGUAUAUAACUGUGGCAAAUAUAUCACAUUUCAGAACAAUGGCUGUAGCAAACCAUCAUAUAUAAGGUUUUAAUACAUAUAACCCUCAAAUGUACAAAAGAAGUAAUCACACAUCCCCCACACCAGAAUAUCUGUACUUUGAAAGCUAAAAUGAUCCCUUAACUUUUUUUUUUUUUUUUUUUUUUUUCUCCCCCCAAAUAGACUGUUAGAGCAGAAAGCUAUACUGUACUGCUAACAACACAUCUCAGCUGUUUGGGUUUAUUUCUGCACAUAGAUUCCUAUGGAGUAAUUAACAUUCUACACUGCCAAUGAGGAUAGUUUUGUAGCAAGAUGAUUUUGCCAGUUUUAAGCAUAUAUACAUGCAUAUCAAAAAUGACAGUACAAUCAUUCUAGAUUAAUUUAUUCUCUAACAAUUAAUUUACUUGCCUCUUUAUUUAAUCAGAAGGCAGGGUCAAGAAGGGGUAAUUGUAACCACAUGUAUGUGGUACAAUGUGUGAUGUACCACAUACUAUACUUACGGUACUGUAGGACUACAUAAUUUCCAUUCGAUGUUGUUCCUAUCAGACCAAGAGUCUUUAAUUCUUGUUCCAGUAACAGCUGAGGGCACUUUGUAUCUCAGAGUAUCAGCUCCCAAGAUAAUAUGAUUGAAAGGAAUGCAAAAACUGAAUGUACUCAAUGUUAUUUAAAAGAGUCGUAGAGGAUCAAAAUUUAAGGCAGACAGUCCACACAUGACGUUGUACUCAAGUACAGCAGGCACAGAAAGAAAGAAUAAAGAAUUAUGUCUUUCAGUUUCUGUUGUGAAAAUAUUGAUAGAUUGUUCUUCUGUUCUUGGUUUCAGAUUAAGUAAACCCUGGCCUGUAAAACUACUGAAAAUAGAUAAUCUAAAGUGCUGAUAGCUGAUAUGAUGCCAGUUUAAACCCCAAAUCAAUAAUAUAAUCCAGUAUUUCACCUGAAGUCAAUGUAAUUCUGCAUUUGAUAUCUGAAGACAUGGAAUUUACAGAUAAUUCUACAACAUUUUAUGACAAGAAUAUAUGGUUUGAUAUUAACAUGAUUAUUUCUUUUAUUUUUUUAAACGUGAUUCAGGUUGCUAAGUGGUUAAUAGGUACUUUUUGUUUUGCUACUUAAGCUUCAUACCAUUUUUAAUUCAGUUCCAACAGAUUUUGUUUUUGAAGGUUGGUGGAGGAAAGAGUUCUGAAAUAAAAUCAGUUUUCAGACUAGAAAACAUAUCACCUUUUCUCUGCUCAAGAAAGAAGGGACUGCUUCCUUUUGUCUUAAUUUAGAAACACACUAAUAUGGAAAAAUUCCAAUUCUGUUUAUCAGCCUGCCUCAUCCAUAACAACAUUUAACAGCUAUCAUGAGAAACACUACUGUAGAAUUUCCAAGUAUUUUACUUAAUGCUAUAGCAUUUUUUUGUUUGCUUUUCCUGACUUCACAGACUCUGAGAAACAACAACUCAUGGCUUUAACAAUUUUCAUGUGCUGUAUUCUGCAGUAAGAGUUUAAUUCUGUUGUUAUCUGUACGUACGAAAUACACCUUCUCACCACAAAACAGUAUAUCCUGAUCAUUUGCCUUUUAUAGUUUUCUGUGUGUGUUAUUUAGGAUUCUUACUGAGCCUGUUUAGAUUCCCUGAUGUUGUGUAGUGGUAGACAGAGCUCUUCAAGAGAUAAAAGUAUUUUUUAGGAAAUGAUCGUUGUCCUGUCAGUAUUGUCGCCUGCAACUCAGCUUGAUCCUACAAACACCUUUUACUAGGGGCACGGGGACUGUUCCUGCAUAGAUGUUUGCAGGAUCAUAGAGUGUAAAAGCAUCAUUUAAACUUUUCUGCUUCCUCAAGAUGUUCCAAGAUGCUGAGAUACUGUAUUCAAUGAAUUAAAAAUAUCCUCAAUGACAAAUUAUUAUUUUCAUUAUGGUAAUUUCUUCAGAGCACUGUUCCCCUCUGUUCACAAAAAUAAUCUAUACAAAGUUUAAAAGAGUAUACAAAUAACUGAUAUACACAUUAAAACCUAGCUAUUAAAUCCAGAGCAUUGUAAUAGAAAAUUCAGUGUUCUCAAUAUUACUUGGCCUACCUACAGUGGAUUUCUUGCAGUUAUGCUUAAUAUCCCUUUGGAUGCAGUUAAAUUCUUCCCUCAUGAUUAAAGAAUGGGGAAGAGUUUUAAAAGCCACAAAACCGAAAUAUAAAAACGACUUGAACAAAUUAAGAGUCUAGAUUUAUGAAACUUCACUGAACCAGCCAGUGUUUCUACUUGCCUUUGCCCUCACAAUUCAAUUUGAACCUGGCUCAGGCUAUCCACAGGAACAAUGAAGUGCAGUGAUCUCUCAACCUCCCUCAAGCAACAUUUGCUCGCUGUAUAAAUAUAGGCAGUUGAAAUCUCUCCUAUGUUUUCUUCUCUAAGAUGAGCCACACUGUGUUGUUCAUUUAAGCAUUACAAAAUCAGAGAUGUAACUUCUUUCUUAUAUAUUUGUGAUGCAUUUCCCUUGUCGUGCUUUGAAACAGUAAGUACAAUCAUUCUUUCUUGACUUGUGAAAUACAGCUUUCAGAGAGCCCUGAUCUGCAUUAAUGGUAGGAGCAUGGAGUAAUUCACUGUUGUAAACCUGAACGUCAAUAAGGAAUUACCUUCAAGCAUUUGUUCUUACAAACAUUUCUAUUGUAAUUUAUUUUAACUGCAAUCAGAAUAGUGUAAUAGGAUCUCUACAGUAGAAAGAGAUUUCCAGGUCAUUUUCUUAUUGGCUACAGCUUAAUCCCAGUGCAACUGUAGGUCUUGUGUAUCUAGAAAGUCAGUGGAAAAUACGCUGGGGGCAGUUGAACUGAGAGGAGUGAGUCCAGAUGAGGAGCUGGGCAUUGUAAUGUCUAGCCAUUCCAUAUUGUCUAAAUUUGUGUCAGGAAGGUCAAGAGAUAGACAAGAACUAUUAGUGGUAAACUGCGGGUCAGAUGUUUCCAUGGGUGAAUGAGAGUGAUCUAAAAUGCUGGAGUGAUUAAGCAGAUCAUUCUGGAGGUCUUCAAUUAAGGAAAAUGACUCUCUGUCCUCAUUACCGCUUGCCAAUUGAGGAAUCUCAUUACCUGAAGGUAAAGUUCCAUCCAAGAGGGCUUCAAGUUGGUUUUCCAGACUUAUAGACAAGCUGGUUGUUGGUUCUAAGGACACAGGAGGAGGGGCCAUUUGGAUCUGUGGUGGUGGGCGGGAUAUCACUGUAUUUACUGGCAUCGUAGUGAUGUUGGCUGUUACUGGUCUCAUUUUAGAAAUGGGAGACGGUUCUUCCUUUAUUGGAAGGGAAAUCUCUGUAAUAAUAACAAUAAAAACGAAACAAAACAAAACAAAAAAUGGAGUUCAGAAAAGACAGUGACAUUUCUUCAGGCUUACAACUACUCAUCUUUUGCCCACUUACUCUGAAGAUGUGCCUACAGUGAACUUCAACGGAGUAAGACAUACAUCAGACUAAGUAUGUCAGAUACUCUGUGAACAACAAAAUAUGUUAAGUUCCAGAGUUCUGCUUUCAAUAAUACUCCAGCUGAUAAGAUUAAUUUUAUCAAAAUGAACAGUUUUCUAGAUCUCAGCUUUACCUCCUUCACAAUUUAUAAUUUAUAGCUUUAUAUAUAUUUAGUUUUUAUAGUUUUACAUAUAUAGUUUUAUAAAUAGUUUUUUUUAUAUAUAACUCUCCUGAUAAACUAGAAUAAUUAUGGAAUCUCCGUAUUCCCUCUCUGAGGAAAGAGUACCUGAAUCAAUUUUCAGUUCAUCCCUGCUUACUCCCAUGUUGCCCUUAACAAAUUAGUCUGUGAGAUCAAUUAAUGCCAUUAGGACAAUUUUAUAACUGAUUCUAAAAUUUAAAAUUACUCUUCUGUCAAAAGGACCAUGCAAAUUAGUGACAGUAACAGUAAAAGGAAAUACAGCUUCAUGCAGAUUAGAUAUAUUCUGUCCUUGGAAGAAUUCUUUCAAUUCUUUGAUUAUAAUAUUGUUUUUAUUACCAGCUUUAAUUCUCUACAUCACAUAAACUUUUCUUGGCUUACCUCCACUCUUGAUGAGAAUAUCAAAAAGAUCAUCCAUCUGCUGACUGUGUGUGCUGGAAAUCUGUAAUAUGUGAGAAAAGCGUUAUUCUUUUUCAUGUAGUAUUACGUUACUAAGCUGAGAUCCUUGCUUCUCUGAACAGUACCAAGGUACUAACCUAUGAUCAGGACUAAAAUUCUUCGAAUGAAAUUGUCUAUCUAGAAAAUUGGGUUUGGAGAGACAUCUAUAAUCUAUCCCAUUGGUUUGAGUCCAAAGGAUUGGGAAAAAGCAUAUGAAAAGAAAGACAGAUUUCAUGGAGGCUACCUAGAAGAGAUGCAGAAAAGUGGGGAUAAGGAGAAUAGCUAUACCUCUGCAGCAGGAAAAUACUUGGAAGAGCAGCUGGACUAAGAGGCUGUACCCCCUGCUUUCUUUCAGAAAGAACUUGUGAAUAGUCGCCACACAAGAUGUAUAUAUAUAUAUAUAUAUAUAUAUGUAUUUACUAGUUGUAGAUUCAUGGUUUUUUUUUUAAGAGUGGAGAGAAAGUGUUAAUUAACUCUACAUUUACCUGUUUUAAACACUCAUCUCCUGAAUGUCUGAACCUUAAGCAGAAGAUAAAGAAAGCCCCACAGACACUCUCAAGCUUAGGCAAAGUAGAGACUUGUUUGAAGGUCUCAGAACUAAAGCUAUGUUUUAAAACACUGGUUAUACUCUGGAGAGUGAAAGCAGUUUGUCUUCAAGAAAUGUGGGAUGUGAAAAAGGGCCAGUGAGGAGAUGCUCUACUAGCUGGUCGUGAUGUGGUCACUUAUCAAGCUUAUUUCAAUUACCACGUUAAUGUUAUGGAACUUGAGAAGGCCCAAACAAUUUAGAGCUUUGGCUCUCUUUAACAAUUACUGAAGGAAAAAAGCAACAAGUAAAUCCUAUAUACAGAAUGCCUGAUAUGUUCAACAUAUCUUCAUUGUUUUUUACCAUUAGUUGCACAUUAAUGAUACAUUUUAACCAGUGAGAUGAGGGAAACUCAUGGAGAAGUCAGAGGAAGAUGUGGGGAGGUUAUUUUACAACAAAGUUUCUAUGUUUACACAAAAAGAGUGUUUUCGAGAGUGAGGGUGGGAUUUAACUGCCUGAAGGCAAGCAUCAAAGUGCUAUUUAAGAUUACCACACCUGCUUUUCCAGGGGGCAUGGCAUUCUAGUAUGUCUGAUGUCGCCUGUGCCUUCAUUGUGAGGAUGUCUUAGACAUGCCAAGCACGUAAGAAAUGCAGUUAGAUACCCGCGCUUCUGAGUGCUUGCCACCACAAACACAGCAGUCAGUGCUAAGUCAGAGUUGUCUCUUCUGGGAUUGUUCUAAUACACAUGAAGUUAGAAGUGCUCAUUAGAUAUGUUUACAGUUUCCUUUCAGUAUGAAGGAUAUGCGAUAAAUCAACAAUACAGUCUGCUGGAUUAUUCACCAAGCUCACCAAGCAGAGCCUUCUUUCAAGGAAAAUGUGUGCUCAAGUAUAUGUAUGUUUGCCUAUAUGCAUAUAAAUGCUUGCAGACAUUUUCCUCAAAUUUCCUCACUUUGGAAAGCAUCAACAUGCUUUCUUUCAGUCUGAAACAAUAACGGUUACUGUUAAGCAGUAACAGCAGCGUUAUCCCAACGGUAUGUUUCACCAGCUGGUGAAUCUAAAACUUAGUUACAUGUCUGUUAAUUUUAUCAAAAGGAAGAAGAGGAGUCCUGCAGUUAGGAAAUAUUAAUGGAGUACAUUAGAAAAUCUUAACAAAGAAAAAACUACACUAAGCAAUGACUUUUAUAAGUCAUUAUUCUAAAAAAUGAAGAAUGUUUUUCAAGGACUACACAAGUAAAAAUAACUACCUCACGGUGAGACGUCUGAAUAUUGCGGGUCUGUUUUAUGGCCUCUUCGUAACGGGGGGGGUCUUUUGUCUUGGAUACUGUGUUGUUGAAGAGGGACUGCUGAACAAUAUAAGACUGGCCUUGAGAUGGGGAGCCAGGCUGUGUGAAAUAACAAAAUAAUGACUAAACAAUACAUUUUAAUGAAAUUGAAAUGUAUCAAGGUCCACAGAUCAUCUUGUUCUGUCAUACCAACCUACAUUUACAGUAUAAUCAGAGGAAUAAAAUCAAGCUUUUCUCACACAAAUAUACACGUAUGCACUAUUAAAAUCUACAAAACAUUCUUCCUUGAGUGAACUGCAAUAUAGCCACCUGUUAUUUAAGAACAAUAAAAUAAAACAGAACUUUAUGGAGUACUGUUGGGCUACUCUUACCUUAUUAGGAGGAGCAGGUCCAUUCUGCACAGACGGAGUCUGAUUAUUACCACUAUGAAUGUUAGAGUUUGAUGUUUUAUUAAUAAAAGAUUGUGAAGGUGUUGUAACUGGCGCAGUCUGAUAUGAAAACACUGUAGUUGAUGUGGUAGGUGGAAAAACCUGUAAAGGUUUAAGAUAUCAGUCUUAAUAUUUCAGUUUUUAAGUUACUCCAACUGGGUAAAUGAUAUUAAAAAAAGUUUAAAACUUUUUUUUUUAAAGUACUUGCUUAAAUUUCCUGUUAAGGGAAUGUUACUUGUACCUGUUUGUCACUCCAGUGGAUUAAUUUGUAAAGCCAGAGCUAAUACACUUGGAAAGAAACUCUGUGUGGGAACAUGCUUUCAUUCACUCCAGAUAAAUAAAACAUUUCCUUGCAACUCUCCAAGAAGCAUGAUACUGUAUAAUUUAUUUUUUCUGAGAUACAUUCAGGAGUAUAGAACAAUUUAAUACAGUACGUGUAAUUUCCCUACCAAGUGGGCAGCCAAUGAAAUGAGCUAAUUUCUGGCAUUACCCAAAAGCCUCUAGAACACUGACAGGAUGGGGCAUCGACCACCUCUCUCUCUAGGAAACCUGUCUCAGUGUAUGACAACACUCACGGCCUGGACAUUUUUCCUUAUGUCCAGUCUGAACCUUCCCAGGUGCUGCUCUGUGCUGUUCCCUCAUGUUCUAUCACUGGUUCACAGGGAGAGGAGAGCAGUGCUUCUCUCCAUGCUUCCCUUCCUCAGGAAGUUGCGGAGACCAAUGAGGUUCACCUCUCAGCCUCCUCUACUCCAAACUGGACAACCUCAGCCUUCCUCACAGCCCUUUUGCAUGAGGCAGUCUGAGUGCACAAGGCUGCUCUUUUUAAUUCAGUAUCACACAGAUACCUUAAUGACAAAAGUGAGAGAAAAUCUUAGGUAAGAGAUGGAGAUAAAGCUAGGAUAAGCUUUGUGGAGUAGAGUUUUAACACCAAAAGAGAUCUGCUGUGAGAGGGAUUAAAGCUGUUUGUUAGCUAUAUGGAUCAUCUGUGUGAAAACUGCUGUAUUUUUCAGCUGUCUACAGCUAAGCUGAACAGCUGUGGAGAUAUUUCCUUGUUAAUGAGUGAAUUGAAGAACAAGGACCACUUGGGAGCUGGUAUGCAAAGAGACACCUCAAGUGUGUAGCAGAAAGCAGAUGCAAUCAUCAGCUAGUUUGCAUAUAAAAUCUGAGCUCCCUGAGAAAGGCUGGAAGGAUUUGAGAGAAACUAGUUCUGGAAAACAACUAUUAGUGGAGAUGAUCAUUAUUAGGAAGGCUAACUUCACUAAAGAGCGUUAAAUUAAUUAUCAGCAUUACUGACAGUUCACUAGCUGUAAUGGCUCAAUAUGCCUGCUGAGAUAUCUAAGGCUCAUGAAUGAAACAGAAGACAGGUAGAACUAAUGCUGAAUGCAUGAAGGCUGUUCUUAUCUAUUGUACUGCAUUAGUGUUUUACAUUUUGAUGUUAAAAAAAAGAAAUGUAAUUGCACUGGCAGUUUUCUUAUGUAAAAGAUGGCAAUAGAUGUGCGAGAAAACCAGCUGGGAUAAGAGCAGGCUGCUCAACUCCAGGGCAGCCACAUGUAGAGUGAAGAUUAUCUCCUGCCAUUGUUUCUGGGAAGUCCUUGGCAAAUAAGGAAGCAAACUGCAAACUUCUGGCAUGAGUACAUGCCUAAGGAUGACUAGAAAAUUUCUGUAUGGGAGCUAUCCAAUUAACAAGAUAAGAUUAGACCCGUAGCAAAUCCCAACAGUUUUGGCUUCAGUAGGAUAACCUUAAUGCCCAUGAAGUUAAACAGCUUGAACAGGAAGUUUGGAGAGUGAUGAUGCUCAUUUAGUCGUGUUCCCCUUUACUCUAGUGAGCAGUCUAGAGAUAGAUUGGCAAUUACCUAACUUAUCAAAAUUAUCCUCUCAUUUUGAAAUGUUAAUUGUUUCUAGAUUAUCCUUUCCGUGGGGCAAACUGGAAAACCUUGUUUUCCUAAGUGACUGGAACCUUAGAGAACACAGCACUGGUAAAGAAGCAAAACUAAUCUCUUAGUUUCUGGAUAAGGCUCAAAGGAGGAGAAAGCCAUUUCUUAUGAGUGGUUAGUGCUGUUAUCAGUCACCAAGUGAACAUGACUGGGUUGUGCAUCCAGUGCUGAUGCACAUCUGUUUUGGAAUGAGAAAUUUCAGAACUGACAGUUUUGCAUACAGAGAAAGAGAAGGAUCUCUCUGCACCAUUCCUUGCAUUCCUCAGUAAGAGAAUUAUCCGAGGUGUGGUGUGGUUUUGAAUCUUUGCAACUGCUGUCCCUAGUAUCUUGAGUCUGUAGCUUUCUUCAUCAGUAAGGAUGAAUCAAGGACAGUGGGAGCACUGAAAGGAACUCCCAGAAAUGCAUGAAUAUCUGCAGUCAUAGGUAAAAGCUUUCUCUGAAGAAAUGCCUACAAGAAUCUUCCAUUUUGAGACGGUGGCAAACAGGAGAAAUUGAUUGGAAUAGCUGCUAUGCCACUUGUGCGAGGCAUGAGAAAGAAUGGAGUGUGUUGUAAGAGUACCAUUAAGACAAAAAAAAAAAAAAAAAGUAUUUAGCCUUCCGUAUUUAUUUGCAGCUGAAUAAGUAGCCCUGCAUGGACUAAAAUGUUGGAAUGAGAAUGAGUUACUAGCCCAUGUUAUCCCAUACAAAGAUGUACGGAGAUGUUAAGAACUUGUAUGUGACACAUAUGACACACAAAAGUUUGUAAAAGUGCUGCCUAGAAUUAGAAUACAUGAUAGUACAUCUAUUAAUGCUUACUGCUAUCCACAAACCUUUCUGAUUUGUUGGGUCUGACCAAGUGCAUGCUGCGUGAUGGUGUUUUGUUUUGAUUGUGGAGUAUGCGUCUUAGGUGCUGUCUGGACCAGGCCAGAGGAAAGAAUAGGAGCAGGUAUUUGUGAUGGGGUCUGUAUUCCAGCUUGUGAUUGACCCUAAAGGAUGAAGAUAAAAUAUUUACAUUAUUUGUAUCUCACAGUAAAUUACAUUAUGUAAAAAUCUGUUGCAUAGGUUACACAGAAAAGCUAUAGCAUGUAUUCCAAGAGGUAUCAAUGUGAGCCGUGAACAGGGAAGAAUAAUUUUAUUCUCUCUGGUACUGGUAGGCUCUAGCUGUACAGUGCUGUUUAUUUUGGCACCUCAGUUUAAGAACAAUGAACACAAACUGGAGAGGGCCCAGUUAAGAGUAAUGAAAAUAGCAGGAGAUAAAGAGAGCAUGACCAAUAAGAGCUGAAAAAAAAUGGAUUUUAGUAACCCUGAAGACAAAACUGAUGAAGCAACAUGACAAGAUUUCUAGCAUGUAAAAAAAGCUGUUUUAAGAAUAUUACUGUAGUUUUUAAAGGCAAGUUGCAUCUAACCCCAGGUUAGAUAGUUUGAGGUGGAAGUUAAGAAAACUUCCUGCAGUAUCAAUGAAGUGAAAUACCAGAAAAAGCUGCUUAAUGUUUUUACAGAAUUCUAUCAGGAUUCCAGAACAAUUCAGACAAAGAUCUGUGUGGGUGGGUAGCCACCACUGCAGAUGGUAGGCUUCAACCCCAUCACAACUUCGUAGUCCUCAUAAGGGCUACUAAGUGUGACUGCACACACACUAGCAACAAAGCCCAAACCCAUAAUACGCCAUAACAUCAAGCACAGACUGGAACUGAAACAGUGCUUUGCUGGCUUUGUGUCCAUGAGAGUGGUAGGUGAUUUCAUGCAGCUAGCAAGCAAUAGCAGUGCCCUGGGAAAUCUACGUUUAAUUCUAUCACAGAUCAAGACUAUAUUCAACCUCAUCAGAUUUCUCUUGUAGCUCUACAUUUAUAUCCUAUUGUACUUUAUUCUGCAUUUAUUCACAGUGCUAUGACUUUAUAAUCAGUCUGGAAAUAUUAUUUGUGUAAACAUGGUUUCUUUUUAUAACUCCCCCUGAGCUCUGCAACCCAGUGUUCAUAUUUUUAAAUGUAAUAAGCCACCAGAACACAAUGACGUUUGAAUAUGUAUUUUUAAAGCAGGUAUACCUUGAAGUAAAAUGCUGGGUUUUAAGCUGAGAUUUUUUUUUUUGUUUGUUUGUUUGUUUGUUUUAGCUACAGAGGUGGAAUUUGUUACUUGGUACUAUAUAUCUAAAACAACUGUGCACAGAGGGAAUACAUGGUAAAACAAUUACUGCUCAGAAGAAAGAGUCCAGGAAGUCAAAACUGUUUCCAAGAUCACAAAGAAAACAAUUCCUAAAAGUUAUAAACAGGUUGGCUCUUAAAGAGUUUCUCAUCUUUCCUGUAAAGCAAAAACAAGCCUGAUUUUUACCAGUUAAUCUUAUAAGCAAUAUAUUUAUCAAUCUAUAUUAAGUUAAGCAAAUAUUGACAUGUGUUUUUAUGGUGAAAAAUGAAAACAUCCAUACCUGUAGCUUUAUAUUUCCAACUGGUAGCUGCACUGAAGUGGUAGAAUUCGGUCCCUGGAUAGAUAGUGGAAGGAGCAGCUGUGCAGUUCCUUGGGUAGUCAGUAAAGCUUGAGGUGGGGCAACAACCGCAGUUUGUGGUUGCCUCUGUGGAUUAACAUAAAAUUGAGAAAUCGCAUUCUGAGGGUCAGCUUUGGCCACAGGUAUCUCCUGCUUGAUGAUAACUGCCUUUUUGGCAACUGGAUUCUGUCCACUGGUGUACACUGAUUGUCCUAAAGGAUGACUAUCUACAGAUACAGAUUGACUUGUGCUUGAGCAAUCAGUAAGAACAUUUUCAUCUUUGACAGCAGCACUGAAUUGCUUCUGUUCCAAAGCAGCUGAGUUACCAGAAGUCUGAGACUGUUGCUGUUGUACCCUUUUUUCAACCUCAAGUUGCAUUUUCAGUACUUCCACAAGUUUCUGCUCUUGUUCCAGUUUCCUUUUGAGCUCUUCAAUCUGUUUUUCUUUUUCUUGAAGCUUGCGGUCCUUUUCUGCUACAUCAAACUCCAUGCUUGAGAUGUUUCCACUGCUACAAUUCUGAUUAUCAUCACUUGUAUUUGUUCUUAGUGGCGAAGUACUUAAGAACUGGGAUGGUGACACCAUGGUCAUCAUUUCUGUGAAAGUAUCUGCCAUACCAGUAUCAUCUGUGCUUAGAUUAGAUUGUUCUGAAGGGGAGGGAGAUAUAGGCAAAGGAGAGCUAACGUUCUCAGUAUUUACUGCUUUGCAGCCAGGUCCAGUAGUUGUUUUUUCUGGAGGAAAGCUGGAUAUUGUAUUAGCCACAGUUUUAUUUAGUGUUGUAACAGGAAAUGCCACAGCCAUUUCCCCUGUGUUACCUGUGGCUCCAGUAGAAGUAGUGAUUGUAACAGAGCUGCAAGUAGUGACUCCAUUAUUAUUAAGAUCUUGGUAGGGUUUCAGACGCUCAAUAAGAUCAGUUUUUGUGCCAGACACUGGUAAUCCCCUCAACUUCAACUCCAUUUUAAGCUCUGCUACCUGUGAUAAAGUAAAGUAUGAUAGUAAACAACAACAAAAAAAACCUCUUACCUAAAAAUAAAUAUACACUUUUUCCUCUUUCAAGUUCAAAAAACACUCACCUAUCAAAAACCUAACACCUCGGUAGAGAGAAACAUAUCAAAUGCCCACUAGAUGUCCCCACUCUUGUGCUUGAGUCUAGUUCCUCUGUGUCACUGCUACUGAAAAAUAUCUUAAGCUAAACCCCCACAAGCCUCUUCAGAUUCAUUUUCAUUAUGUCCUUGAUAAUAUUAAUUCCUGUUAAUGUUCUUCUGAAGGAAGAAUCACAUGACAUACAUUCACAUCAGAAUUUAAAAAGAGUCUACAGUUUGUAGCUUUUAUGAAAUUUAGUGUUUGUUUUCAGAUGAUGUGCUGAACUCUGAUGACAAAAUCUUCUUAGCAGUGUUAUGUCUGUGCAGACUUCAGAGCACUGACCUCUCUGAAUGUGUAAUUAUUAGGGCAUGUUUUAAUUUUUAUUCCCUAACUAAACCUCUUCAAUGAAAUACUAAAAUUAUUGUGAAGAAAUUGCUGUUCCAGUGUUAAAAUCUGUCAGGGUGGAGAUUUCACAUGAAGUUCACCUUACAGUUUAUAAAAGGUAUCAAACUGUGUACUUGUACAAUGGCUGAAAUUCUUUGUCCUCUUCUAAUACCUUGGGAAAUAAAUGUCACUGUUAUAACACACGCUUAUGAGGACAAAACAAAUAUUUUAAGUCCAGAAGAGCUGUGUAUUAAAUCCUCACUACUCUAUACUAAACAGUUAAAAGAAAAAGAUGCUUAUCAUUGGUAAAUAAUAUUUAGACUUAUUCUUGAUAGUAAUUGUUUGCAUUUUAUGACCUCUCCUGAUAUUUAGGAAUGGAAAAAUCUCUCUUUGUUACCUUCAAGUCAUCCAAGCUUGAAGGCAGAGGUCCUGGUUUCCGGCUAGGAACACUACUGUUCUGUCUCGUUGAGUUUGCAGCUGAUGUUGGUGUGUUGUUGUUCAAAGCAUUUAGUGGCGUGUUCCCAUUGUUAUUCUGUUUGUCACUCAGUGGCCUUCAAAAAAUGAGAAAAAUUAGGACAAUAAUGUGAGUGCUAAAUAUACAAUCCAUGUAAUAUACAAUACAUAUGUUUUACAUUCUUUUCAGUCAAGAAGCUGUGAUUCUGUAAACUUAAUGAAGAGUGAUUUUUAAAAAGUAUAUGUGUAAUGUGACAUUAAAAUAUUUUUAAUAAAACACCACAGAGAAGAAAACAUACAGAGAAUACUAUAUUGAUAUUUUAUGUGUCGUUAAGCUUACAUAUUUAUGCUUCACAUUUUUUAUUAUUGUCAUAUUAUCCUGUAAGGGUAUUGCAGAGUGCAGAAAUAGUUUAUACUAACUCAUCAUUAACUAGAGCAGUCAGUUACUUUCCUGUUUGAUGUCAGAAAAAAGCCCCAUAAUGGUAAAAUCUGUGUAUCAACUCUACAUGCAAGUCCAAUGUCCACAUCCAGUAAGGAACAAAGCAAAGGCAGUUUACUCUGAAGAUGACGUGCUUUGAGUCAGUGGCACUCCCAUAAAGAAGAAUCUCACUUCAGGAUCUCAAAAUAAUUGUUAAAAAUUUUUAAAAUGCCACCAUUUACACUAGGUACCAUAAAUUAGCUCUCUAUUUCGUUCAAGUGGUUUAGGAAGAAACAUUUCUGAAAUGUCAGAAAACAGAACAUAAGAAGCGUGGGUAAGCAGGCAGAAACAUCUCUAGUCUAAAUGUUAGGAUACAUGGUAAUUAUAAAUAUAACCACAGAUGGUAUUCUUUUACUUUUCUAGCCUCAUUUGCAGAGGAAAGAAAACUUGGAGAAAGCUCAUUAAAAAAAAAAAAAAAAAAAAUCCCACCCCCAAAACAAAACUAAACAAAACAACCAAAAAAAAAAAAAACAAAAAAAAAAACAAAAAAACCCACAACAGGUGAAAGCCACUUGAAUUUAGGGUUGUGUGACUGUGGCACAUUACAAUGUAAGCACUUCUAGGAAAAGAAUGAUGGUCUUAGAUGGUGAGAAUGAAACUGCAGCCAGCCAGCUCCUCUUUCUGCUAAAGGCUGCUGGCAACUCUCUUUAAGACUUAUUUUUCUGACUGCUUCUAUCUAUAAAACAAAGUACACUUCUCAUUGUUAAAAGUGCUGAAGAGUUCACAUAAGCGCUAGAGAUGAGGCUAUAAACAUACACAUUUUACAUAAUUAAAAAGACUCUUUUACUUGAAAAUGGCAGGAGUUGAACUGAUGUAAGAGGACAACAAAAACAGCAGAACAGCACACAUCUUUGUAAAAGCUGCUGUCUGUGAGUUUCUCUUCUGUGCUGCCUACCGCAAUCAUAUUUGAGUGCAAAUGGUGACAGAACUUUCUUGCUUUCACAUACACGUUUUGAGUUUCAUUUAUGUCUCUGGGUGGAAAAAAUGUAACUGACAGGUAGAAGAUUCUACUUCCAUGUCAAACUAAAAUAAAUAGGACUUGUUAUAAGCUUUUCAGACUUCAGAAGUAUUUUGAGAACUAUCUCAUCACUUUGUUGAGGUUAAAUAAUACCCACUAAUGCAUGUUGCCAUUUAAGUUUUCUCAGUUUCCAUCUGUCUCUAACAUUUGAAAGACGCGUUUACUUCUAAGGCACGAAGCCUACAACUGAUGCUUAUAUGCCUCUAAAAGACACUUAGAAAACACAAAGAAAGCUUCACAUACUUCAGUGGUGCAGGCAGAAUUGUCUGGUAGUUGUAGUGUUGUUGCUGUUGGCUCAGGAUCUGCAGCUGCAAAAACAGUUGCUGCUGCUGUAGCAAACGAGCAUAGUUUGAGUCCAUCUGUGGCUCGUUCUUCUCUCCUUUCUGAUCAGGUGGAAUAUACUGAUGAUACUUCAAUUUUUUCACCCUUGGUUUAGGUUCCUUACAUUUCUUACUCCGAUGCUUAUCAUUUGGGUUCUUUGGGUGGCUUUGCUAAUUAUGCAUGGAAAAUAUUGAAACAACUAUAAGAGACAUUGUAUUUAUGAGUAGCUAUGCAAGAUACAAAGAUAAAGUACACAGCAAUGUAUUUACUGCAAAGAGAGCUGCUGAAUACAAUUGUCCCUGCAAUCCCACUCAAAAUGACUGGUCAUCAUCCUUGAAAAGAUAACAUAUGAUAGCUAUUUGAUACUUGUGCAUGAGAAGGGGCCAUCAGAAAUUAUACUUUGUGAAUAUUUUCUUAGUACAUGGCAUAAAUGAAGUUAAAGGAUUCUGCUAGUCAUGACCUGUCAUUAUAAAGAGACAUUCUUCUGAAGGAGCGAAGCUCAAAGCUGCUUACACUUUAUAAAUGUGAAAGAUAAUAACUUAAACACCAUCUGUAAGCACCCACAGGUCAGAAGUACUUACAGGUCUAGAUUAAAAUCAGAGACAGACUGUCCUAUCAAGUCCAGGAUUACUCUAAUGGAGCUUUCAGCACCGCUUUUAUCAGCAAUAUCUUACAUAUGGUAAAAUGCACUUCCUUUACAAGCUCUUUGAAAUUAUUUUGAGUGACAAGUUGAAGACAGUUACCUAGUCACACAGAAGGCAUCAAAGCAGAAAUCCUGUGUUGAUCCAUGCACAAUUACUACGCAAGUACCUUGUUUUGGGGGAAUAUCUGAAUUUGUCAUUAAGGUCCUGCAGUGAGGUAAGUUGGUACAAGGUUUCACUAGAUAUAGCCAAAUUUAUACUAGAAAUUGACUAUUAGAGGUCAUCCUCUGAGAAUUAUUUUCACGUAGAUAGGUAGAAGUCUACAUAGUGAAAUCACUAUAGAGCUGAAACAAGACAGACGUUUUCCAACACAAACCUUUCUCACACUGUAUUUGUAAAAGUCUUCCAUGCUGCUGGAUAAGGCAGUGUAGAAGACAGAACUGAGUGCACCUUUCCAAUCUUCAAAUACAAGGAUACAGUAACUUGAGUGCUUUAUUCUCAUAUGAUAAACAAGCUACAAAUAUAUUUGUAUGUUCACUGGUUUGGCUAUAGGUAAAUUAUGAAUGCAUUUGCCUCUGUUACUAUUAAAUUAUUCCCCAUACAAAGCUAGAUUAGAAGAUUAAUUUCUCCAGUAGAAAAAAGAAAAUCAACAUUGCAAAAAUCUAAUAUUACUUCUCUAUGUAUUUUUUAAAAAUUCAGUAACAAUGUAGGGCAUCACUCUGCUUCAAUACUUUAUUCAACUACACUGUAAGAACCUCUUGAAAUAAUCAGCCAGCCCUUACAAGUGUUAACAGUUGAUCUCAGUGUACCAAAGCCUCCCAUCAACAGCAAAGUAUGUUCUGAACACUCAAAGCAGUUUUUAUUAGUUAUGGAUACUGUAACAUUACUAACAUAUUUCUGCAUUGAAUGUAGCCACUGAAAAACAAAACAGAUUAAGAACUGUCUUCAGAUGCCAUUGUUUCAGAUAUCUACCUUUACUAAUGUUGGCCCAGGCUUUGCUGCAGACACAGUACUUGUGGUCAUGGUGGGUGUAGCAGUAGAACGUGUAACGUGUUCGAUUGUGGGAGGAGUUUUAAGGAAUUCAGGAACUGGAGAGGUUAAAGGUGGAUACUAGUAUUAAAAAAAUAUAAGGAAGAAGAGAAACAUUAAAAACAUCCACAGCAUCUGAAUAAUCAAAAACACGUGAAGCAGUUAAGACAGUUCACAAAACAGUUUUAGAAUAAAUGACAAAAAUAGGACUCUUCCAUGUACACAAGUGUGCUAUAAACACACAUUUUGGCACACUUCAAAUAUAGCAAUUAAUAAACUGAUUUCUUACCUUGACUUCUCAGUUCAUAUUUUAAUUACUGCAUCUAAAUGUAUCAAAAAUCUCAUUUUACUCAUACAGGAUUUACUUCUAGUCUCACUAGGACAAAGCAAUAAUUGAUUUUAAUAUCAUUUUUUAAUAGUAUGUAAUAAAUAUUUUUACAACAAUGAUUCCUUACUUAAUUAGUACUGUUGACAUUUUUGGCAAGUAAAAAGAAUGAUAACCAUAAAGGAUUUAUAAAACAUAAAAGAAGCCCUCAGAAAGGGCAGUGCACACAUAAUGCUCACACUGUGUCUUGCUUUACAGAAGUAUUUUCUCCUUCAACAUACAUGAAAAACAAACAGAAAAGUAUCAUUUUUUUCUGGUUUGAAGUUCCUACCCUAUCAUUCUGAGAAAUCCAUGAAAAAAAGUAGCUGGAAGGGCAUUCAGAAGUAACCUGAUCCACUCAAGUCAGGAACAUUUUACCAAAACUACUCCUAACAUAAGAGGGCUGCUCCGAAAGUAAUGCCUCCUAUUGGCAUUAUGACAAUGUUGGCCUAUGACAGUGUUGUUGCUGCAUGACAGAUGGCAGCAGAGGGGCACUCUGACAGAAUGGCUCCUGACAUGGAAGUGUGGAUGGAGCAAAGGGGUGGAACUGAAUUUGCCCACUGGGAAAAAAUGGCCCCCACUGACAUUCACUGACACAUGUGAAUACUGAUGGAGACCAAACAGUGGAUGUCAGCACAGUGAGGCAGUGGGUGGUGCAUUUCAGCAGUGAACGACACACCAUGUUCCAGAUGACCACGUGCAGCUGUCACACUGUGAAAUGAACAGCUCUUGUUCAUCACUGGCAAAAAUGUGUAGCUAAUAGUGGUGACUACAUUGAAGAACAGUGUAGCUGAAAAUCUGCCCUAUCAAAUAUUGUGGUCUUUAUAUUGUUUCUAAUUUCCAUGGAAAUAAAUAGGAGGCAUUACUUCUGGAGCCUACAUAGUUCUUAACUUUAUAAUUGCAAAAUUCUUCAAGAACUGACAGCUAUCACUGGAGUACCUUUGUACCUAGCACUAUAACAACAAAAACAGAAAUCUUGUCUUUAAGGUAAGGACUACAGGAAAAGCUGUCAAGUUCCUUCCUUGAUACUGCUACCAAACUUUCAUACAUGAAGGCUUCUACAACCACAGUUACAGAUUUUAAGAAUACAAAAAGUUCCUGAAGGUUUUUUAUAUAGAAAUAAGUGGAGAUUUUAUUAAUUAUAUGAUUUUACUGAUUUUAAAUAAAAGGAGGGAGAGGUUAAAGAUAGCUAAAGAAAGAAUGGAAUGUACUGUUACCAAUCGUUUUCAGGCUUACCACUGUUUGAUACCGAUCUGCUUGAAGCAACAUUCAUAAAUAUCACCUUAAAAUUUGACCCUGGAUACACCACACCUAUACUUGAAGCAGCUGACUGAAGUUACAGAAAAACACCAUAUUUAGAAAAAACACCGUUAUUUACUGAGUUGAAGCCUUCACAGUUUUCUGUGUGAAGUCAGAAUCUUGUGGACACAAAGAAAAUCUUACCCCAUGAAUUAGUGCUCUCAGAAAAACCUUUCAUGAAGGUCAAGAAUCAACAUAGGAAAAUUAACCUAUUUUUUUCAGAAUGAGCACACAGUAUUAAUGCAGCCACAUAAUUUGAAGAAAUUAUCUUCAGUAGCAUUUGCUAAGGAGGUGCAACCACUAUGAUGUUACUGAGUAGGUAUAGUUCAGUAGCCUGCACUUUCCUGAGUUUGUUUCCUUGCUAUUACAAGCACUGUGUGUAUUACUUCAUCUAUAAAUGUACCAAAUACCAUAAAGACUUAGGAUUUUCUUUUAAUUAGUAUUUUCCAGCCACCACGAUUCCUGCCAGAAAAUUCCAAAAUGUUUUCUAACAUAACAAAAUUUCAUUGAGCUCAACUCUUCAACAUCCACUCUUUCUGUGCUGAAAGCUGCAAAUAGGCUACCUAGCUCUCAUAAGCUAUUUAAACUGUACAGUGGUUUUGAUCCUUCUUUUCCUUUUCAUUUUUUUAGCUAAGUAAUACUUUCCAAGAUCUUGAUCAGCCAAACUCCUGGCAAUUUUUACUCUGUAAGGACCUUUUAUUUUCUGAGAAUAUUUCCCCCCCUUUCUUAAAGGUGGAGUCUCUGGGAUAUCUGAUUUUACAUUAUUUCAAAAUGUAUGUUACUGAACCUCAGAGAAUUCCACAUACAGUGCAGUGUAUUUGGAAAAAAGCACCUCUGUUUCAUUGCUACUGGGUGAAAAGAAACAUGUAGCACAGCCAUCCACAGGAAAGCUUCUGAUACUGCUUUAGUGAAUGGUAAGAUUUAGUAUGCCAUGCUUAGUCAAUGAAACACUGCACAUGUCUGUCUUGUGUGAGAAGCAGGAUAAAGAUAUAAAUACCUCUGUUCUUAUAACCAACUCUAAAAGUGUUUGCUCCGUCCAUUAUCUACACAGUACCUGUUAUUUGCUGGUCUUGGAUAAGAAAUGGCAGGGGACUUCAGAAGGACUAAUCCUUUAAGAAAGGUGUGUGGAUGCUGUAACUUAUCAUAUUGUAUCACAUUUAAUGUCAAGUUUAAAAAGACUAUUCAAGGUAUAGCAGUGUUAUUUUAAAAAGCACCCAGUUGGUCUUCUAGUCAAAGUAUCUAUCAUAAACCACACUAAUGUAAACAGGAAAAUAUUGAUGAUUAAUGUAAUGAUUGUCAGUAGUUCUUAAAUUUCCUUUUUAUAAAGUCUCAACUAAAAAUAAUUUAAAAUAUUUGCUAUUUCAGCUUAUUCAUUACAUAAUCUUUCAUAAUUUGUCAUUUUGAUCCUUUUUGGAUGUCAGUACAUGACAGUAACACGAAUUCAAACUGCUUAGUGACUCGUUAUAGGAACAGCUGCAUGAAGAGAACACAAUAAAACAGUUUAAAAUGGAAAAGUCAGUAUCUUUCAGAAAACGAUCUCUUAAAUUCUGCUGCUUGAAACUCAUGGUGUUAAAUAAUCACCUUGCCAUAGCGUUUUACUUCUUCCUUACAUUAACUAUCCUGAACUACAAAGGACUUUACCUCUAUGAAAUAAAAGACUUUUUACAGACUUGCCAAUUUUACUGCAAGUGCCAAUGAGGCAAUUAACCACGUAUGUCAUUUACCUGUUGCGCUUUUAAAUCUUAGUUUAAGAAUGUAAACAGAUCUCAGCUUCUUCACUUGAUUACUUCACAAAGUAAUGUAAGGAUUACAUCAUAUGAACAGAUCUUUUACUUCCAGAUACAGAUGAUACUAUUUCUGGACCUUUUCUUGUAAAUGCAAAUAAGCAUUUAGCAGGUCAACAAGCUGCAGUGAAUAUAUUAUGAAAAUAGUUAUUCAAUUCUUUCUCAUCAAACAAAAUUCAGCUGUUUUGAAGAUAAUUGUUUCGAUGAUAACUGUUUAACACCAUCAGAAUUGUUGUUGUAAAGCACCUCACCCUUAGCAGAUGCAAAUACAUCAGGUCGAAUCAAGUUUUGGGUCAUCAGUAAACAUGAGCUGAAGGUUCCCAAAGUUAUGUUGCUUUCUCUGAGGCUUGAAAAAGUGUGGAGGAGGAAGCUUUGAAAAGAACGCUGGCUGCACUUCACUGUUUUCAAAAUAUUCUUUGUACUUUCUAUUGCAAUAAGAUGUAAAAUUUGUCAGAGGAAAUUAGAAGAAUGAAGGAUCAAUUUCCAAGACAGAACCUGCAGAGACAUGCUGGCUCAUUUUCUUUAUUUCAUAAGGAACAAUAAAGUAAGCAUCAGUUUUAUUCUGCAGAGGAGCAGCUUUGCAUUUUAGGUCUGUACACAGAAGCGAUUGUAAUGCAUUAUCAAAUCCAUAAGCAGAGGAUUGAAGAUCUUUUCAAGUGCCCUUCCAGUCAGCUUCAAGUGCUCUGUUGUUUUGUUGGUGCAAUCAUGUAUCUAUCUUACGCUUCCUGCUUGUAAAGCUUUUGGCAUGUAUUGCUCUGAGUAUUUUUAUUUAGCUCUCCAUUUAGAAUCUAUUUCUUAGGAAUCUAAUUUCAUGUGGUUUGUUUUCAGUUUCUUCAGCACAAACCAUAUUCAUUUGAUAUGAAACUCAAUUAAUGUCUUAUUUUUUAUGUUAGGGAACAAUGAAAUAGAGCAGAUGUGCAUUACAUUGUGUCUGGCAUUGUUUUUUGAGCAUGAACUUUGCAAUAUUUUUGAAUUACUGCAUUAAUAAGUAAAUAAAGGACAGUAUCAAGUUGUCCAUGGCCAUUAAAAGAAUUGGACAACAAUGUCUUGGGAGAACAGGCAACAUUAAUCUCAUAUACAGCUGUUUAAUUUUACAUUACUUUAUAAACUAAGAACUCAAUAUUCAGUUCUGUCUUAUCUUUCGGUUUGUGUUAUUUUAAAAACUGCAGCGUAGCUUCCCUGUGCAGAGCCCUGGCUUUGCUAUAAAUCCUCUGGCACUUUAAAUACAUAAAUAAAAGCAUUUUCUACAAGCACGCUUAAUAGAACAACAAGCAUAAAAACAUGGCUCGUUUGUGGACUUUCCUGAUUGUUUAACAAAUCACUGUCAGACAACACAUAACAGCUCUGCUGCUUUUUCCUCCUCUGAAGCUUUUCAUCUGUGUCUUUCUCUGCCAAAAAAAAAUUUCAUAGGAGGAAAAGCAGAAAGCUUGAAGACAGACAUUAAGUAAUCAAUAACAGCCGUAGCAAACCGUGGAUGUGGCCUUUUAAACAACUUCUUGGAAAGCAGCAGUUUUUCUACUGGCCAUAAUGAAUUUCAGUGAAUCUGUACUAUGGGAAUUUCAUCACCGCCAACAGCCAAGCAAGGACUCCAGUCCAUAAUUCUUAACAGAAAGUGGAGUCCCAGUCAACUCUUUGCAACAGCAAAGAUAUUAAUUUCAUGUGUAACUGUGCCCCAUUUCUACAGUUCCAAAAAUAUACUGUGGAGAUUUUACUUCAGUGUUUUAGAACUGUACCUGUGUUGAAGUAGUAGCAUUUGGUGUUAUUGGUGAUGGUGAGUCACUUGUUUUUGGCUCACCAGGGGAAGCAGAACCUUGGGAUUCUUGGCUGGCUGGCUGAUCUGGUGAUAAAGCAUCACUGCUGUCUUCAUCAAAUGAAUAGUCAUCCAAAGCUUGAGGGUAACUCUCUUGUCCAACUGCUAGAAUGUUUAUAAAGAAACAAGCAAAACAAUUCUUUUUAGUUAUACAAAUUAAAUUUAGAUGCUUACUAGUGGCAGAAUUAGGUAGCUGCUGGAAACUGACCACUUUUCAGGUCAGUCUGAACGUAUUGUAUGUUAAGUAUUUUACUGCAUUUUUCAUAUAAUGAUAGCCAUAUAGAUGAUAUUAUUAAGAAACAAAUACUUUCAGAUGAAUGAUUAUGGUCUACAUAUUUCUAACUUGGCUUUGAACAAAAACUGGGUAACUAUAUUCAGUUAAAUGAUGACACAACUUAGGCGUCAGAAGCUGAAAGAAUAAGAACUAGCAAACUGUAUGUUUUCUUCUGGUGAACUUUACUCUUAAGACUUGAUAUAUGCUGUAGCUCUUCUACUUGCCUAUAAUUGCCUCUUUAACACUGGAAUCUACAGGCAGAAUAUUUUUUUCUACCAGUUCCAUAGGGCCAGGCCUCUGCGCAAUCUUCUCAUUCAGAUCAUCUGCCAAGCGAGCUCUCUUCAGUUUCAUCUGAGUGGCUUGCAACGAAGGCUCUGCAAAGGUCUCUAAAAUAUAUGUUGAUUUAAAUAUUCUAUUCAAUCUUUCUCCAAUUUCAUGACAACUAGCAUUGUCUCACCUAACCAUUUUACCUACAUCAAAAACAUACAAGUAUUAUUUGGAAAACUCUCAAACUAGUAUUACGAUGAUAUGAAAAGAUACUUUCCAUCUCCAUGUUUACAUUUUCUAAAAAGUAAAAUAGAUAUAUACAACCUAUUUUUUAAAAGCAAUAAUAGUUUUGUAAACAUUUUUAUAAUGUCCAAGAAUAAAGCAAGGAAUACAAAACAGCCAAUUCUAAUUAAAAUUUAAAGAUACCGUUCGCUGCUUUAAUAUUUACCAGUGUAUGCUAUGGUAAAGGUUUAACUGAUAACUGAUUUUUCAAAUAGAAAAUUUUCAAAAUUGUAUUUCAGGAAAACUGGAGAUAUUUUGUUGAUACAGAGAUGGUUUGUCAAGAUAAAGACUCCUCUCUGGUGCUUGAUCUAUCCAGACCAAAUGCAUGUUUAGAAACUAAUGAACAUUAAACUGACUUGGAUUAUGGUUAUUUGGUAAUUUCUGUAACUGAUAAGAUUAUGAUGAACCACAGUAAUACAGAUUCUUUCAAAAGCAGAUUACUGUUUCAAAUGACCUGAGCAACAAGCAAAGUAACAUAGCAAGGUAAAAGUCAAGUUUAUAAUAGACAGGGGUUUUUGGGGAGGAAAAAUGUCCAGAAUUGUCAACUCUUUUAGGGUAAUGAGUAGAAAUUGAAGUAAUAUUUAUAUGUAUAUACACCAUGGCAUAAUUACCAUUAGGGACUAAAAGCAAUAUGCACUUGUCAACAAAUGCUCAGUUAAGAAUACUUUCACUGCCACAGCUGUAUGUAUUAAAGACACUGUAGAAGCAGAGAAACAUACAAACAUUUAGAAAUAAUUCACAUCAAAACCUAGUUCAGUUAGACAGCUGAGUGCGCCACAGUAGCUCCUUCUAAUAGCAGCUUAAAAGGCAUGUACAUACCUUCAAGGAUGUGCAUUCUGACGAGCUCAGACCGAUCCGGUCUGCUGCGAAUCUUGUGCUUCAAAAAAUUUUCAGUCUUGAAAGAAAUGAAGAAUUAUCAUUAACUGGUGUUUAUUUGAAAAAGCAGAAAGUAAUUCACUGAUGUCCAACAAUGAAUAUUUGCAGUUGCCUUCAGAUCAGUGGACACGACUGUUACAAGCGGGCUACCAGAGAGGGUUUUGCUUUACUUUGUUUUUGUUUUUCAGUCAAGCUGUAUUAAUGAAUUUCUAUCUUCCCAAAACAAAUUUGGAAUGUUUCUGGAGUUGAUCCCUUUGCGCCACACUAAAUUACGGUAGUACAGAUUAGAUAUUUGCUACAGAAAUAUAACACAAGCAUAAUAUAAUCCAAGUAUUUUUUCCUUAGACUACAGGGGGAUAUGUGUUACAAUAUGACCAUAGUUAAUUCCACAUACGUGCUUGAUCUAGGAAGGAUUAAGAAACUUCCUUAGAUUUGAUGCCAACAUAUUAUUCUAACAGAUUCUUUUAAGAUACAAACCCAUAUUAUUACUGUAAUGUUUUUUUUUUUUUCAAAUAGAAAAUUCAAUAUCGUAUAUACAACUGACAGUCCAUUUUCAGAUGUUAAUGGCAGGUUUACACAAAAUGGUUUACCCUGGCUCGCUCCAGGCUCUUUAUCUGCUCGUGGAAUGCAGCAGGACUUUUCAAAGCUGUGAAGGGAAAAGUAAGAGUUAAGUAGAUGAAAAGUGAUUAACAAAAGAAAUAUCCUAGUCACCAUGUGUGUUUGGGUGUUUAAUGCUAUAUUAAGGCAGUGUUUGCAUCUGACCAGGCUUACAUUUGACUUAUGCCGAUUCUAUUAAUUUCUGUUUUUUUUUUUAAUUUCUAUUUAACACUGAAUACAUGGAAUAUUGAUUUUAACAGAUAUCACUGCAUAACAGUUAACUUUUUCACAGAGUACAUUAGAGACUGUUAACUAAAACUGUUCCACAGCAUAAAAUUUAUGAGAUAGGACAUAAAAUGCCAGAAUACUUUCAUUUAUUCCACUAUUCACUGAAAUACCGGUCACUCCUCUGAGAGAGUGGUCAGGUGCUGGAAGGGGCUGCCCAGGGAGGUGGUGGAGUCGCCAUUCCUGCAGGCAUUCUAGAAACAUUUAGACGUUGUACUGAGGGACAUGGUUUAGUGGGAAGUAUUGGUGGUUGGUGGGCAUUUGGACUGGAUGAUCUUGGAAGUCUUUUCCAAACUUGGUGAUUCCAUGAUUCUAUUCUAUAAUUCUACAUUACUAUAUAUAGAUAUAUAGAUAUUCAUGUAUACCUAUGCUAUACUUGCUGUUACUAGGAAGAGAUGAAUUGUCCUUUAAUAACUAUUUAUGCUGAUUAUUCAAGAAUUUUGUAUAAGCCUCAUGUGUUCAGAGUAGAAAAUACGAUGAUCCUACAUCAUGUAUAAAUUCAAAGCAAUAUUCAAGGAGACGGUUAAUAUUCAGAAAGCCUAUUUGCCUAGUGUGAAAAUCACGCAACAGCAGCUAGAAAUAAAGCAAGUCUUACGUGGCAUGAUGCCCUGGUCCACCAACUGUUCACGUGUCCGUCUUUGUUGUAGCCUCAGCUGAAGUACUGACAAAAGAAAACAACCAUUCAAAUGUAACCAUAAUAUCCCUCUUAAAAGUUCAAGACAAACUUUCAAAAGACGCUAAGUACUUCAAUUUUAGAAAUACUUUUGCUAUAUGCAUUUGGACCUGACAGUAAGACUGUAAGACAAGCAUUAAGGAUCAACUGCUAGGAACAUAAUUUGCAGCAAUCUAAAUCCUUAUUUACAAUGGAUUUUGCAGUCAAUUGUUCACAUCUCAUAAAAGGACUGCUUCAAGCAUACAUCACAGAGAACUCAUGCUUCCCCUCCAGAAAAAAAAAAAAUAUAUAUAUAUAUAUAUAUAGUUAAUUUUCCCUUGUACCUGUAUCAUUUUAUCAUAGUGCUUCACUAUUUCUUAGGUAUGUAUAGCUGUUAACCUAAUGUGAAAUUUCAUCUUUUGUUUGAGAGAUGGUCAGGAUGCUUGGUCAAGAAAAAAAUGCACUAAAUUUGUAAUACUUACAUUCUCAAAUUCUGCCUUAAUAGUUUAUUGUGGAUGUAUGGUUAUGACAUGCUGUUUCCAUUGUAUUUCACAAGGAAGCAAAACAAAGUAAUACAUUGUCCAGAACAUCAAAAUGAAUGCAAUUUCUAAAAAUUAGGCAAAGGACAAACUUCAUUGUUUUCAGAAUUUAAAAGGAACCAGCUUAUUUCCUGUUCUGCAGUACAGGAAGGAUACUCCUCUGGCUUAAGCAUUACUACCGGGAAUAGCAAGGCAAAUGCUGACAACAAGGACGUUAUUUUCUUAUGUGACUCAAACACUGAGAAUUUAAACACAAACAUUUCAGGGCUGUGCCACAGCAGCUCUAUUCACAGCUUACAAUAUUGUUACACAAGAAUUUGUGUUCUUACACAAGAAUUACAAAUAACAGAGAUGUGAGAACAUGGAACAGCAGCAGACCUAGAGCUGUCUUCCCCAGAUCCAGACACUGACACGAUUCUCAGACAAAGAUUUUUCCAUCUUCAUAUGAAAGGGAGCAAACUUCUAUUUGGCAUUUGGCAUUCUAAUACACUAACACAGAUGCUUACUGUUAGGUCAUUUGGUUGGACCGGGCAGUCUAAACACAUCCUACCACCUCAGCAUUUAAUGGUUAUUGCAUUUUCACUUUUCACUGGCAAGUCUGUGGGAGAAGAAAAAUCAGAAAGGCCUCACACUGCGGUUUGGCAAUACAAGCAAGCUAAAUAACUGCUUCAAUACUUCUACUCUGUAUUCCUCUGUAUCCGCUCAAAGAAUAUGUUAAGAAGUUUGCCUGAAGUAUAUGCAACUUCUGAGACUUCUCUGAAAAACAAGCAAACAAAUGAAAACACAGCCCUACACCACCUAAGCAUCAACACUGCAAAAACAUCUCCCAGGAUAUGUUACUUGUAUUUGUGAUUGAUGGAAUUUCUGUCAGUUCUUGAAAUGAAUGUUGCUUGGCCAUGACUGUGAUUGGUGGAAUUGAUAAAGGAAAUGGCAGAGGGAGAAAGUAAAAAAAGCAAAAAGAAAUAAACCAAAGUAUGUAGGUAUCUUAUCUCUUAUUUACCAAACAGUUUAAACAAAUUCUUUAACAAAAAUUAAUUCCAAAUAUAGAUGAUGGGAAACUCUGCUAUAUAAUUUAUAAGUGUAUUCUAUCCACAAUUUGUGGCUUCAGUCACGAUCAGAUACUUGGCUUAAGCUUUGUGGGAAGGAGUAAAAACUCAUCUGUAUCCUCAGCAAUGUGCAAGUCUGAGAAGCCAGUACGUAAUGUACUGCAGCAGGAUGAGAAAAGCAAUACGUGUGCAGCUGAACAUAAACUGUAUGUGCAUUCAUGUGACAUUUUAGCAUUUCUUAGCAAAAACGUGUAACAAAUACUUAUUGUGUCUCAUAACACUAUUUGUCUACCCAUCAUCAGUUAAUCUACACUGGACAUCACAGAGCAAAUUAGAUAUGGUGCUUCUGAAGUUGAGCCAUGUGUAUCUGUACCGGAGCACUGAGAAAAAGAGAAAUAAAUGACACAGAACAUUCACUUACUAAGUAAAUAUCAAGAACUUAUACGUUACAUAGCCAGGGAAGGACAGCCUGUAUGUAGCAUGACCAAGCACUGAAGGGAGAAUACCAAAGAAAACAUAACUCAGAGAUAAUGAUAUCUCAAAGAUAAUGCAGAGAAGACAGUGAUUGAAGAUUCUGAUUUGAUCAAAGCGAGGAGGUUAAAUAAAGUUGGAUGAAAAACUAAGAUGGGAAAAGAAAGUUUGGCAUCCAGUUUUUGCUGUUGUCGUUUAACUGCUGAGCACUUAAAUGUGUGACUGAAGAAAAUAAAGCGUCUAACAGAAGUCACUGCAAAUUAAAAAACUAAUGUAUUAGUUUUAGAAGUUGAAAAGCUGAAAAUUGUUUUUGCUUUUCCAAAGCAAACAAACCAGGAAAAAAUCUAGGAUUUAUACAUCAGUGAAAGACAUAAGGAUUUAAGAUGCCUUUCAUCACAUGGAGACAAAAAAAAAAAAAAAAAGAAGCUGAGAUGUUUCUAAGGAGGAAGUGGCAACUUGUGGUACAUGAGUUGGAUAGCUCCAUCUAGACAAAAGUCAACUUACAGGUCUGCGUGUCAGAGCAGAUGGUCACAGUACAGGCAGUAAGGACCUUUAUAACAUCACUGUAGUCACAGAGACUCAUCCCUACAAUUUAGCAGAUAUACAUUAUAUACAGAAUUGUAUCAUUAUACUGAAGAUGAACCUGUAGUGGGUAUGAAGAAAGGGAACUAAGAAUUUAUUUUAUGAAAAGCUAGAAAGGAAAUGGGGACUCACAAAAAGCUGGAACAACCAGAAAGAUUUGGAAGAUGGGAGUCACGGAAACUAAAUUAAAAGGUUUUAAUAAGGAAAAUGUGAUGAAAUUAUAUUCAAAGACAAGAAUGAAAGGUAUGAGAAUGGAGCUCAGGUUGCAAUUUUAGCAAAGAAUCGCCAAUUUCUUUCAGGGAGAAACUAUACAAUAGUUUUUAGGUUAUUCAAAUCUAAUGUAAAUAAAUUAAAUCCAAAACUGACUUUCCUGAUUAUAUAUAGAAGUAGAAAUCCACUCAGCAAAAGAUUUCUGCAGCAGUCAGUAACAUAUAAAGUAAAUCUAAUAAGGAUGGAUAAGACAGGAGGACACAGCUUACAAAUAAUCUGAAAUCUGUCAAGGCAUUAUACUAAUUUAUUAUACUGUAUUAUUUGUUCUCUGUCUCUCUCUAUGUAUAUUUCUUUUUUCUGUUGUUUAUUUUUAAUAACCAUUUCCAGACAAAAUGAUGAAAUCCAGGGAAGGGAGAAUUCAAGAGAGAUAAGGUACUAUAAAACCAAGUUCCCCUGGGGUACAUCUUAUUCAAAUGUGGUGUUGAACAAAUAGCUCUUUUCUGGGUGAAUCUAUUGAGCCUGUUGCCUGAUUGUUUGCUUCUCACUCUUAC
RNAcentral lists this long non-coding RNA (32759 nucleotides) under Gallus gallus (chicken). Lineage: Eukaryota; Metazoa; Chordata; Aves; Galliformes; Phasianidae. The record is from RNAcentral.